RNAcentral lists this ribosomal RNA (234 nucleotides) under uncultured bacterium. RNAcentral's name for it is "partial 16S ribosomal RNA". It matches the Rfam family "Bacterial small subunit ribosomal RNA", at positions 100 to 334 of the family's 1533-position model. The record is from RNAcentral.
CGGGACGGGUGAGUAAUGUAUGGGGAUCUGCCUGAUGGCGGGGGAGUAACUACUGGAAACGGUGGCUAAUACCGCAUAAUGUCUACGGACCAAAGCGGGGGACCUCCGGGCCUCGCGCCAUCAGAUGAACCCAUAUGGGAUUAGCUUGUAGGUAAGGUAACGGCUUACCUAGGCGACGAUCCCUAGCUGGUCUGAGAGGAUGAUCAGCCACACUGGGACUGAGACACGGCCCAG